RNAcentral lists this ribosomal RNA (468 nucleotides) under uncultured bacterium. Its description in RNAcentral is "partial 16S ribosomal RNA". It matches the Rfam family "Bacterial small subunit ribosomal RNA", at positions 28 to 507 of the family's 1533-position model. The record is from RNAcentral.
GACGAACGCUGGCGGCGUGCUUAACACAUGCAAGUCGAACGGAAAGGCCCUGCUUUUGUGGGGUGCUCGAGUGGCGAACGGGUGAGUAACACGUGAGUAACCUGCCCUUGACUUUGGGAUAACUUCAGGAAACUGGGGCUAAUACCGUAUAGGAGCUCCUGCUGCAUGGUGGGGGUUGGAAAGUUUCGGCGGUUGGGGAUGGACUCGCGGCUUAUCAGCUUGUUGGUGGGGUAGUGGCUUACCAAGGCUUUGACGGGUAGCCGGCAUGAGAGGGUGACCGGCCACAUUGGGACUGAGAUACGGCCCAGACUCCUACGGGAGGCAGCAGUGGGGAAUAUUGCACAAUGGGAGGAAGCCUGAUGCAGCAACGCCGCGUGCGGGAUGACGGCCUUCGGGUUGUAAACCGCUUUCGCCUGUGACGAAGCGUGAGUGACGGUAAUGGGUAAAGAAGCACCGGCUAACUACGUG